CCUGUUUAAUGGGACCCAAAGCAGCAUAGGGCUGUAAAGGUGCUGCCUCUCCUGGUUCACCCUCCGUGACAUGCUAUGUAAGGCUGAUUUCUCCUUAAGGCAGGUUGGGGGGCCAGACCUGGAGUUGUGAUAUUGUGCAUGGCUGUUGAAAAUGCUGUAUCCUUCAGUGACAUGGCAUCAAAUGUCAGCUGGAUGUGAGCAGGCAAGUGUACAGCCAUCCCAGGUGUCAUUUAAGCAGCCCAUCGUGUUCCUGGUACUGUCUUAUUUUUGUACAAGGUUGAUAAAUAAUAGUUAUGUCCACAGCAUCAGAGGCUCUGCAUUCCUUUUUGUAUUCCCCCAAGAGGCUGAGACUGUCAGAAAUACAGAGCUAAUGACAUAAAAUUUUUAAAUAAAGCAUCUUCUCACCAACAGAAUAUUUAAAACAGCAAUAAUGGAUGGUCUGUGAUACGCCCAUGUGGAUAUGUGGUGGCAUGAAGAAAGAAAGGACCUGCCAGCCUCUGAUGAAAUAUAUAGCACCAGUCAAACUUACUGUUUGGAGUAACAUCCAUUAUGAACUCAGCCCCGUUUCAGUUUAGUAAAUCAUUUGCAAGUUGAUUCCGAUGGCGUCAUCUGCAAUUCAUAAAUCUUUGCUGAAUGACUUCUUUCCAGAGAACCAGUUCUUGCAAGAAACUUCAUCUUCAUGUUCACAGGAGGUCAUGGAGGUGUUCUUAUGUAAUGAGCAUAAACAGCUGUGAGAGCUUUUGUUGAAAGAACACAUUAGAAAAGGAUAGCAAAAUUACUGAUGCAUUCCUCUCUAUUCCACUACUAAGAGUGCUGUAAGAUCACUUUGUUUCCCUGGUCUAAGAUGGACGUAAUUGUUGUCAUUAUAACCCCCUUUUAGAUAACACGAGUGAGAUUCAGAUGCUCCUGAACAUGAAAGGUGCACUCAGUCCCCAGGCAGGCAGCCCUAUUGACAAGAUGCCUG
This is a non-coding RNA of Phasianus colchicus (ring-necked pheasant), 964 nucleotides long. The record is from RefSeq and is a predicted model, not a curated record. Lineage: Eukaryota; Metazoa; Chordata; Aves; Galliformes; Phasianidae.